Aquila chrysaetos chrysaetos is the source of this 768-nucleotide long non-coding RNA. RefSeq lists it as uncharacterized. Lineage: Eukaryota; Metazoa; Chordata; Aves; Accipitriformes; Accipitridae. The transcript has 2 exons. The record is from RefSeq and is a predicted model, not a curated record.
GCAGCACGCACACCGCGGCCGCGCUGGGUGGCACAACGGGAGCUGUGGGGCGCACCCGAGCACCACCCGCACACUUGUGGGGAGGUGCCGUGGGGAUUUCAUUGAGUCCUGCCCUGGCCCCACAGCUGACACAACCAAAGGAAGGUACACGGGAAACUGCAGAACUUGGAUCGGAGGCCCUAGAUAAAAAGCUGUGUUGGCAGACAGGAGCUCCUUCACCGGAGGCAUCUGACAAACCUGCCUCCGCCCCAAUAGCCACUGCCCCAGCUGGGCUCACGGGCUCACAUCAGGGGUGAUGCUCCUGUGCAGUUGGAGUUCAGCAAACCCCACCUGUGCACCCAUCUGCUGGUGACAUGCUGGUUUCCUACUUUAAGCUUGCUCAUGCUUGUGAGGAUGAGGAGGAGCGAGGUGGCAUCACCACCUUCCAGGGCUAUGUGAUAAUUUGCUGUUCAGGCACGCUGUUAGGUUUCCACGGCCCGCAGCUGUCUAACCAAUUUUAGCACUGCUUUACCUCCCUCCUACUUUUCUUUUGUCACUUUGCAUGAAGAGCAUAACUUAGCAAGGAAAAGUCACCCUUUGCUUCACGGUUUUGUAUGCUAAAAGCAACAUCUGAGCAGUCAGACUGUGAUGAAAACGUCCCUCUUGCACAUUGGCGAGAGGAAAGUCAAAGCCGUUGAGCUGACCUCCCUCUGCACCCAGACCCAAAAAGGCGCAAGGGCCCUCAAGGCAGUGCAAAGCAGAGACGUGACUCCAUAGACUUUCCACUGU